GGGAUCGUUCAUACCUCAUUUGGUCCAUCCGUACCCAUUCCGAACACGGUAAUUAAGCUUUUGAGGGUCAACAGUAGUACUGCUUUCACCAGGAAGUGGGAAUGGUUGAAAUGAUCCCU
Molecule: ribosomal RNA, 119 nt
Filed under: Promethearchaeota archaeon
Lineage: Archaea; Promethearchaeati; Promethearchaeota
Source: RNAcentral